UUCACGUGGUCCAGAGUCGGAGACUGAGUUUAGCUUUACUGAGGAGCACUAAAUUUAGGCGGGUAUGAGUGAUUUCAGUGAAGAAUUAAAAGGGCCUGUGACAGAUGAUGAAGAAGUGGAAACAUCUGUGCGCAGUGGUGCAGGAAUGCAUUUUCCUUGGCUUCAAACAUACGUAGAAACUGUGGCCAUUGGAGGGAAAAGGAAGAAGGAUUUUGCUCAGACAACAAGUGCUUGUUUAAGUUUUAUCCAAGAAGCUCUGCUGAAGCACCAAUGGCAGCAAGCUGCAGAAUACAUGUACAGUUAUUUUCAGACCUUGGAAGAUUCAGAUAGCUACAAAAGGCAGGCUGCACCUGAGCAACAUGGAGACUUUCAAUACUUUUGCUGACCGGAUGAAAAAUAUUGGCGUCAUGAAUUAUUUAAAGAUCUCCUUACAACAUGCAUUAUACCUUCUGCAUCAUGGAAUGCUUAAAGAUGCUAAGAGAAAUCUGAGUGAGGCAGAGACAUGGAGACAUGGUGAAAAUACGUCUUCCCGGGAAAUAUUAAUCAACCUUAUUCAGGCCUAUAAAGGGCUCUUACAAUAUUAUACCUGGUCUAAAAAGAAGAUGGAAUUGUCAAAGCUUGAUAAGGAUGAUUAUGCUUACAAUGCAGUAGCCCAGGAUGUGUUCAACCACAGCUGGAAGACAUCUGCAAAUAUUUCUGCAUUGAUUAAAAUUCCUGGAGUUUGGGACCCUUUUGUGAAGAGUUAUGUAGAAAUGCUGGAAUUCUAUGGGGAUCGAGAUGGAGCCCAAGAGGUACUCACCAAUUAUGCAUAUGAUGAAAAGUUUCCAUCAAAUCCAAAUGCCCAUAUCUACUUAUACAACUUCCUAAAGAGACAGAAGGCACCAAGAUCAAAAUUGAUAAGUGUGCUUAAGAUUUUGUAUCAGAUUGUACCAUCUCAUAAAUUGAUGUUGGAAUUCCAU
Molecule: small RNA, 959 nt
Filed under: Pongo abelii (Sumatran orangutan)
Lineage: Eukaryota; Metazoa; Chordata; Mammalia; Primates; Hominidae
Description: processed transcript
Source: RNAcentral